UUCUUUAAAAUUAAAGAAUUUGGCGGUAUUUUAGUCUGUUCAGAGGAACCUGUUUCUUAAUUGAUAAUCCACGAUAAUUAUUACUUAAACUUUAAAUUUACAUAUCGUCGUUAAUAAAAAUUUUAGGAUUUAAUUUUUUCAGAUCAAGGUGUAGUUUAUGUUUAAGAUUAAAUGGGUUACAUUAAGAAACUUGAAUAAAAUGGAUUUGAGAGUAAGCUCUAAAAUAUGCACAUAUCGCCCGUCGCUUUCACUUUAAAGUGAAAUAAGUCGUAACAGAGUAGGCUUAUUGGAAAAUGAGCCUAGAAUGCAAAUUAGAGCUUGAUAAGCAUUUUAUUUACAUUAAAAAGUUAGUUGUUAAAUUCAACUUAAUUUGAAUUUAACUCAUUAUUUAGCUUAUUUGAUCUUUUUUUUUAAAAGAAGAAUAUUAAUUUUUAUUAAUUAUUUGAAUAAAUGUUAUGAUAGUUUAUAGUAUUGUGAAAGAACUUUCUUAAUUUAUAAAAGAAAAUUUUGUUUGUUGUACCUUGUGUCUCAGGGUUUAUUAAUUUAAAGUUCCCGAUUCUAGAAGAGUUAAUUUUACUGUAGAAAUAGUAUUUAAAACUUCUUUUUUGUAAUGAAAUGUUAGUCGUUUCUAGAUAUAUCUGGUUUUUCAAGAAAUUAAUUUAAUUGAUAAUUAGUAAUUUUAUUAUUAGGGGAUAAGCUUUUAGAUUUAUUUUUACAAAUAUUUUAUUUAAUUGAAUUAGUAGGAUUAGAAUUUUUCAUCUUUAUGAUUAUGUUAUAAUUAUUUUAGUUUCUUUAUUGAAAUUCUUGAUUUAUUAUUUAUUUCAAGGUAAAUAUGAUAGAAUUAGUAAGGUUAAUUUAAGGAACUCGGCAAUUUUAAUUUUCACCUGUUUAUUAAAAACAUGUCCUUUUGAAUAUGAUUUAAGGUCUAACCUGCCCAAUGAUUAAAUGGCCGCAGUAUUUUGACUGUGCAAAGGUAGCAUAAUCAUUAGUUUCUUAAUUGGAAGCUGGUAUGAAUGGUUUGAUGAAAAAUUAACUGUCUCUAGAAUUUUAUUUUUAAGUGAAAAAGCUUAAAUUUUUUACAAAGACGAGAAGACCCUAUAGAGUUUUUUUGUUGGGGUGAUAUAAAAACUUAAUUAACUUUUUUUUUUAAUGACUGCUUGAUCCUAGAUUAAAAGAUAAAAUUACCUUAGGGAUAACAGCGUAAUUUUUUUGGAAAGUUCCUAUUG
RNAcentral lists this ribosomal RNA (1226 nucleotides) under Tenebrionoidea gen. 6 sp. NLG-2012. Its description in RNAcentral is "partial 16S ribosomal RNA". Lineage: Eukaryota; Metazoa; Arthropoda; Insecta; Coleoptera. The record is from RNAcentral.